AUGCACGCUGGCGGCGUGCCUAAUACAUGCCAGUCGAGCGAACAGACGAGGAGCUUGCUCCUCUGACGUUAGCGGCGGACGGGUGAGUAACACGUGGAUAACCUACCUAUAAGACUGGGAUAACUUCGGGAAACCGGAGCUAAUACCGGAUAAUAUAUUGAACCGCAUGGUUCAAUAGUGAAAGACGGUUUUGCUGUCACUUAUAGAUGGAUCCGCGCCGCAUUAGCUAGUUGGUAAGGUAACGGCUUACCAAGGCAACGAUGCGUAGCCGACCUGAGAGGGGGGUCGGCCACCCUGGAACGGAGACCCGGUCAAGAAUCCGACGGGAGGCAGAAGUAGGGAAUCAUCGACAAUGGGCGAAAGCCUGACGGAGCAACGCCGCGUGAGAGAUAAAGGUCUUCGGAUCGUAAAACUCUUUUAUUGGGGAAGAACAAAGGUGUAAGGAAAUAUGCACGGCUUGACGUAACCUAAUCAGAAAGCCACGGCUAACUACGUG
Molecule: ribosomal RNA, 496 nt
Filed under: uncultured bacterium
Lineage: Bacteria
Description: partial 16S ribosomal RNA
Rfam family: Bacterial small subunit ribosomal RNA
Source: RNAcentral